Molecule: ribosomal RNA, 253 nt
Filed under: uncultured bacterium
Lineage: Bacteria
Description: partial 16S ribosomal RNA
Rfam family: Bacterial small subunit ribosomal RNA
Source: RNAcentral
UACGUAGGGUGCAAGCGUUACUCGGAAUUACUGGGCGUAAAGCGUGCGCAGGCGGUUGUGCAAGACCGAUGUGAAAUCCCCGGGCUUAACCUGGGAAUGGCAUUGGUGACUGUACGGCUAGAGUGUGUCAGAGGGGGGUAGAAUUCCACGUGUAGCAGUGAAAUGCGUAGAGAUGUGGAGGAAUACCGAUGGCGAAGGCAGCCCCCUGGGAUAACACUGACGCUCAUGCACGAAAGCGUGGGGAGCAAACAGG